RNA transcript from Vigna radiata var. radiata (mung bean), 3694 nucleotides. RefSeq lists it as uncharacterized. The record is from RefSeq and is a predicted model, not a curated record. The transcript has 3 exons. Lineage: Eukaryota; Viridiplantae; Streptophyta; Magnoliopsida; Fabales; Fabaceae.
GUGGCUACCGAAUUAAACCAAUGACCAAUAAACGGAAACUGGAGCCAGCUUUCACUUCCCAAGGAUCUAACCUGGUAUUCAGCUUUCCUGUUUUGUUUAUUCUUCCUUUUGUUUGGACUUUUUGUUCAUUUCGUUGAUGGGCAUCUUAGUUUGAAUCUUUAUGUACUAUGUAUGUGUGUGAGCAUGGACCUUUUCCCAUAUGGGUUUCUUGCUUGAAGCCAUUUUAUUUUGGUUCAGGAGAAUUUUUUUUCAUUACCUAACAUGUUUUCAGUGUUUGCCAAGCUUUUACAUGGGUGAAGCAGACGUAUGAAAGUUGUCUGCUUGGAGAAUUCUAGAAUCCUCGUUGACCUGUACUGUGAGCAUGGCUGGUGAACUAGAAACCCUAGAAGAACUUGUAGUAAAGGAGGGAUCUUUAGUUAUGGAUGGAAAGGAUCUAAAGGUGGGUUCUGAUUUAUGCAUAGAAGAUGGUGUUUGCAGUAGUGAGGGUGUUACUAAGCUUAAUGGUGAUGUGGAUUCUGAUGGCUUAAAUACGGAGGGUAGAGGUGUGAAUCCUACCGCAAGAGAAGGUGUUGGGGUUUUUGGUGAGGGUUCUCAAGUUGUGGGGUCCUUAGAAGGGAAGAGUGAGAAUGAAACUGCCGAAUUAGGUGGAAAUGAUGCCUACUUGAAAGCAUUAGAUGAGCAGAAGAACAUUGAUGACAGGGAGGUAAAUAAAUCAGUGGGGAAAGAAGCAGUCAAUGAUGUUAAGGUUGAGUCAGAAGACAGACAAAGCAUUAAAGAGAAUGCUUGCAUUUCAGAGCUAGUUGAUUCGCAUGAAGAGAAGGAAAUUGAAGAUGAAAACUUUGAUGAUGCUGAACGACAUAAAACAACGGGUAGAAAAUUCACAAAGCAUGUGUCAAAUAAGAAGAGCUCAGGAGUCAUUUUUCAGGCAAGUUAUCAGCUGCCAGUUGAAAAGGUAGGUGAGUUUUCUGUGUAUGAUUUGGUAUGGGGCAAGGUGAGAAGCCAUCCAUGGUGGCCGGGGCAAAUAUUUGAUCCCUCCGAUUCAUCUGUGGAGGCACAUAAGCAUUUAAAAAAGGACCGCUAUUUGGUUGCUUAUUUUGGGGAUAGAACAUUUGCCUGGAAUGAUUCGUCUCAGCUCAAGCCCUUUAGGACUCAUUUCUCUAAUAUGGUAAAGCAGUGCAAUUCAGAUGUAUUUCAGAGUGCUGUAGAUUGUGCUUUGGAAGAAGCCUCGAGACGUGCAGAAUAUGGGUUAGCAUGUUCCUGCAUACCUGAAGAUACUCUUGACAAGAUUAAACUCCAGACUGUUGAAAACACUGGCAUUCAACAAGAACUAAGUUUCACACGCAGAGUGGAUGAAUCUUUAAAUGCUGAAUCCUUUUCACCUGAGAACCUUUUGGAAUACUUGAAAACUCUGUCGGAGUUUCCCACUGGCAGCAUUGAUCGAUUGGAGCUCUUAAUUGCUAAGGCUCAAUUGCUUGCUUUCUACCGUUUGAAGGGUUACUCUUGCUUGCCCGAGUUACAAUACUGUGGAGUUUUGGAUAAUGGCACCAAUGCAUUAAUUAAGGAUGCUGAUAAAAGUUUGAGUGAAAUUAAUAAGCAUGCAAGUCAUUCGAGUAAAAAAGAUGUUCAAACUGGUGUUGGAAAAAGGAAAACAUCAAACAGCUCCAGUCACAAAGGCAAGCAUAGUUUGAAAGAUGAUAUAUAUCAAGAAAAGAAGAAAAGAAGCUUGUCUGCAUCAGCAGGUGGGACUUCAGAUUCUACACACGGUGAUUAUCAGUCAGGUGAUGCCACUGAUAAUCUGAUUUAUCCUGCCUCUUCCAAGAAAAAGAAGACUAUUGAUCAUUGGGCCGGUAUUUCAGGGAUGAAAGACCGGAGAAAAACAGUUUCCCUUGCCAAAGUUUCUAAUUCCACAAAGCAAUCCUUUAAAAUUGGUGAACGUAUUCUAAAGGUUGCUAAUCAACUUACUGGACCACCCACUAUGUUGAAGUGUUCUGGAGACUGGUCUCAAAAGGAAGAUGGUUGCGCCGAAGGUUUUUCAAGAAAUGGAACUGAUGUCUUCUCUAAUUCUGAGCGGACUCAGAAGUCAAGCUUGAUUGUUCCAGUGGAAUAUUCAUCUCUAGAUGAUUUGCUACAUUUACUUCAGUGGGUGGCACAUGAACCCCUGGGAGAUUAUAGUUCCUUGAAUAUUAUAGUGAGCUUCUUUUCUGAUUUCAGGAAUUCAAUAAUUGUGGCCAAUGAUUCUGGAAAAGAAAUUUCGUCUGCAGAGAAAGCUGGUAGUAAAAGGAAGAAACAAGUGGGUGGAUCACGUGAAAGGACUGAGACGGGCAUCCAGAUUGGUUCUGAAAAACAGCAGUCACAGAAAAGCAGCAGAAGAGACUACCAACAUGCCCCCGCUGAGCCAGAAAAGCCUAUUAUAGUUUACACUCGUAGGUCCUACCCCAGGAAACAAUUGUCUGAAAACAGUCAUCUUGAGGUUCCUGAAAAGCCUUCUGGUUGUGUAGAUGAGAAUUCCCCAGCUGAACUUAUUUUGAACUUUGCUGAGAUGGAUUCUGUUCUCUCAGAAAUGAAACUGAAUAAGAUUUUUAGGCGAUUUGGACCUCUAAAUGAAUCUGAGACAGAAAUUGACAGAGGGAGCAGCCAGGCUAGAGUGGUUUUUAAGAAGUGUGCUGAUGCAGAGAGUGCUUUCAGUAGUGCUGAAAAUUUCAACAUAUUUGGAUCAGUUAUCGUAAAUUACAAGCUUAACUAUACUCCAAGUACAUUAUUCAAACCUGCAUCUUUUACCACAACGGUGGACCAGGACCAGGACAUGCAUCUUGAUCUCUCCAAUUCUGAACAUAAUACAGUCUAAUUAUUUGGUCAUACAUAUUUUAGUACCACUAGAAUGUUUUUAAGGAAGCAUGUCAGCUGACAAACACUACAGAGCAGUGAAGAUAAAAAGGAGGAUGUUAUCAAACUUUCUGUUUUCAAUCAGGUGUUUCAAGCCUAACGGAAAAGAAUUCGCACUUUUGAGGCAACAAUCUUGAGACCGCUGAAGAAAAAAUAUUCAAGAAAACAAGGGUUAGACAAGUAGAUUUCUCCUCACCUCAAAGGGAAGCAAAUAUACCAAGCAUAUCAUAAGUAAAUUACAUUUGCAACUAUACGGGGUGCUGAAAACAACUUAACAGCAUAUCAUAACUGAAUAAAACUGCUUAACCAAUUUAUUGAUAAAUGGCUGCCAAAGUAUAAGAAAACCUUUGAAGAACUUGCUGAUGUCUCUAUUAAAUUUUGCAAGCAAGUCUUGUUUUUACCAAACUGAGUUUCCAGGUAAAAAUUUAUUGUCAAGACAUACUUAUGAAGUAACCAAACAGAUCAUAAAAUUGAGUUUAUUCUUCAAAUUUGAAGCGUCCCAAAUUGUAAGUCAAACAUAGUCUCGGUAGAUAACAAAAAAUUGUUUUGGAGAACUAAUACAACGAGCAGAAUUAUAGAAACUAAUAUGAUAACCUGUGUAUCUCUGAAGGACUGAAUUUAGGGUUUAUUUUUAUUGCAUCUUCGUUUUUAAUCUUUCUCCUGGUGCCUUGCAAAUGGAAAACUAAACAUUCAGUAAUAUGUUGAGAAAAUAUGCAGUGAGGUGUUUUGGAUCUAUUAUUCUUAUGGGAUACGUACUUCAAUGUAAGAUAUAAUGAUAAUGUAUUGCACACAAUUCCAUUAACUAAGUGCA